This 484-nucleotide ribosomal RNA is filed under the name uncultured bacterium. RNAcentral's name for it is "bacterial SSU rRNA". It matches the Rfam family "Bacterial small subunit ribosomal RNA", at positions 30 to 507 of the family's 1533-position model. The record is from RNAcentral.
AUUGAACGCUGGCGGCAGGCUUUACACAUGCAAGUCGAACGGUAACAGGGUGCUUGCACCGCUGACGAGUGGCGAACGGGAGAGUAAUGUAUCGGAACAUACCAUAGAGUGGGGGAUAACGCUUCGAAAGGAGUGCUAAUACCGCAUAAUGCCUGAGGGCUAAAGGAGGGGAUCGCAAGACCUUUCGCUGUAUGAGUGGCCGAUAGCUGAUUAGCUAGUUGGUGAGGUAAAGGCUCACCAAGGCGACGAUCAGUAGCGGGUCUGAGAGGACGACCCGCCUCACUGGAACUGAGACACGGUCCAGACUCCUACGGGAGGCAGCAGUGGGGAAUUUUGGACAAUGGGCGGAAGCCUGAUCCAGCCAUGCCGCGUGUCUGAAGAAGGCCUUAGGGUUGUAAAGGACUUUUGUUGGGGAGCAAAUGCUGAUCGCUAAUACCGAUUGGAGCUGAGAGUACCCAAAGAAUAAGCACCGGCUAACUACGUG